Molecule: ribosomal RNA, 434 nt
Filed under: uncultured Clostridium sp.
Lineage: Bacteria; Bacillati; Bacillota; Clostridia; Eubacteriales; Clostridiaceae
Also listed under: 1 other name
Description: partial 16S ribosomal RNA
Rfam family: Bacterial small subunit ribosomal RNA
Source: RNAcentral
ACGGAAGGCAGCAGUGGGGAAUAUUGCACAAUGGGCGCAAGCCUGAUGCAGCGAUGCCGCGUGAGGGAAGAAGGUUUUCGGAUUGUAAACCUCUGUCAACAGGGACGAAAAUGACGGUACUUGACUAAGAAGCUCCGGCUAAAUACGUGCCAGCAGCCGCGGUAAUACGUAUGGAGCAAGCGUUAUCCGGAUUUACUGGGUGUAAAGGGAGCGUAGACGGCAAAGCAAGUCUGAAGUGAAAUCCCGGGGCUCAACCCCGGAACUGCUUUGGAAACUGUUUAGCUAGAGUGCAGGAGAGGUAAGCGGAAUUCCUAGUGUAGCGGUGAAAUGCGUAGAUAUUAGGAGGAACACCAGUGGCGAAGGCGGCUUACUGGACUGUAACUGACGUUGAGGCUCGAAAGCGUGGGGAGCAAACAGGAUUAGAUACCCUGGUA